This is a long non-coding RNA of Penaeus monodon (black tiger shrimp), 328 nucleotides long. RefSeq lists it as uncharacterized. Lineage: Eukaryota; Metazoa; Arthropoda; Malacostraca; Decapoda; Penaeidae. The record is from RefSeq and is a predicted model, not a curated record. The transcript has 3 exons.
CGAUUUUUACCGUUUUUUGCGCUUGUUUACUUCGUUCGUCGGACAAUGUUUGGCUCGGGUUUUCGAAAAAUCUACUUUUUAACGUUUCAUAAAUCACUUUCUUCGAUUUCUGCAGCUUCGAGGGUCUCAAGGAUUUUGUCAUCGACUCCUUGGGGGUUGGCUGGGAGCAAAAUAGAACGAUACGAUCAGCCUGCGGCAUUAUCUAUUGCCGCACAAGAGCAGGUACCAUUGAGCUUGCAGACCAGCUAACCAAAAAAGGUGUCCCUACGAAGGCCAAUCAUGCAGGUCUGAAAGACAGAGAAAGGUCACAAGUGCAAGAAGACUGGAU